RNAcentral lists this ribosomal RNA (465 nucleotides) under uncultured bacterium. RNAcentral describes it as "partial 16S ribosomal RNA". It matches the Rfam family "Bacterial small subunit ribosomal RNA", at positions 28 to 507 of the family's 1533-position model. The record is from RNAcentral.
GACGAACGCUGGCGGCGUGCUUAACACAUGCAAGUCGUACGGUAAGGCCCUUUCGGGGGUACACGAGUGGCGAACGGGUGAGUAACACGUGAGUAACCUGCCCACAACUUUGGGAUAACGCUAGGAAACUGGUGCUAAUACUGGAUAUGUGCUCCUGCUGCAUGGUGGGGGUUGGAAAGCUCCGGCGGUUGUGGAUGGACUCGCGGCCUAUCGGCUUGUUGGUGGGGUAGUGGCCUACCAAGGCGGCGACGGGUAGCCGGCCUGAGAGGGUGACCGGCCACAUUGGGACUGAGAUACGGCCCAGACUCCUACGGGAGGCAGCAGUGGGGAAUAGUGCACAAUGGGCGCAAGCCUGAUGCAGCAACGCCGCGUGCGGGAGGACGGCCUUCGGGUUGUAAACCGCUUUCAGCAGGGACGAAGCUUUUUGUGACGGUACCUGCAGAAGAAGCACCGGCUAACUACGUG